RNAcentral lists this ribosomal RNA (493 nucleotides) under Siphonops annulatus. RNAcentral describes it as "partial large subunit ribosomal RNA". It matches the Rfam family "Bacterial large subunit ribosomal RNA", at positions 1853 to 2584 of the family's 2925-position model. Lineage: Eukaryota; Metazoa; Chordata; Amphibia; Gymnophiona; Siphonopidae. The record is from RNAcentral.
CACUGCCUGCCCACUGAUAUUCUUUUUAACGGCCGCGGUAUUCUGACCGUGCAAAGGUAGCAUAAUCACUUGUUUUUUAAAUAAAGACUAGUAUGAAUGGCAAGACGAAAGUUUAACUGUCUCCUUUGUCUAGUCAAUGAAAUUGAUCUCCUGGUACAAAAGCCAGGAUAAUAUAAUUAGACGAGAAGACCCUAUGGAACUUAAAACACGCAUCCACCCAUACGUUUAUAAAACAUCUCAUACACUGGACCGCUGUUUUUGGUUGGGGCAACCACGGAGAAAAAUAAUCCUCCUAGAGACUAAAAUUAAGUAAUACAAUACAAAAUUCCAAUACCAUGGAUGUGAUCCAUAUUCAUGAUCAACGAACCAAGCUACCCUAGGGAUAACAGCGCUAUCUUCUCCAAGAGUCCAUAUCCACGAGAAGGUUUACGACCUCGAUGUUGGAUCAGGAUAUCCAGACGGCGCAGCCGCCGUCAAAGGUUUGUUUGUUCAA